UGGGGAAUAUUGGACAAUGGGCGCAAGCCUGAUCCAGCCAUGCCGCGUGAGUGAUGAAGGCCCUAGGGUUGUAAAGCUCUUUCACCGAUGAAGAUAAUGACGGUAGUCGGAGAAGAAGCCCCGGCUAACUUCGUGCCAGCAGCCGCGGUAAUACGAAGGGGGCUAGCGUUGUUCGGAAUUACUGGGCGUAAAGCGCGCGUAGGCGGAUAUUUUAGUCAGGGGUGAAAUCCCGGGGCUCAACCCCGGAACUGCCUCUGAUACUGGAUAUCUUGAGUUCGAGAGAGGUAAGUGGAAUUGCGAGUGUAGAGGUGAAAUUCGUAGAUAUUCGCAGGAACACCAGAGGCGAAGGCGGCUUACUGGCUCGAUACUGACGCUGAGGUGCGAAAGCGUGGGGAGCAAACAGG
Molecule: ribosomal RNA, 404 nt
Filed under: uncultured bacterium
Lineage: Bacteria
Also listed under: 2 other names
Description: bacterial SSU rRNA
Rfam family: Bacterial small subunit ribosomal RNA
Source: RNAcentral